UUUAUGGUCAUAUAACCAUGCCUGCUUCGAAAGGAGUCCAUACUUCCACUCCUCCUUAGGGAAAUUGUUGAAAAGUUCCAUCAUUUCAACUUCCCGUUCGUCAGAAAUGUCUCCGAAGUCAGCAGAGAUCUUCUCGUCAGUGGCCCAGUUCGGUAAAGAAGAAACUUCGGGACCUUUGACGUAGAACCACUUCUCGUGCCAUCCCC
Molecule: long non-coding RNA, 206 nt
Filed under: Panax ginseng (ginseng)
Lineage: Eukaryota; Viridiplantae; Streptophyta; Magnoliopsida; Apiales; Araliaceae
Description: long non-coding RNA (PGIN_LNC019021)
Source: RNAcentral